GAUGAACGCUGGCUACAGGCUUAACACAUGCAAGUCGAGGGGAAACGCCGUGGAAGCUUGCUUCUCCGGGCGUCGACCGGCGGACGGGUGAGUAACGCGUAUCCAACCUGCCUCUGACUGAGGGAUAACCCGUCGAAAGUCGGCCUAAUACCCCAUCGCAUCGCCUGCGGGCGUCCAACGACGUUUAAACAUUUCCGCUGUCAGGGAUGGGUAUGCGUCUGAUUAGAUUGUUGGCGGGGUAACGGCCCAGCAAGGCGACGAUCCGUAGCUGGGCUGGUAGGAUGAUCAGCCACACUGGAACUGAGCCGCGGUCCAGACUACUAUGGUAGGCAGCGCUGCGGAAUAGUGGACAAGGGGCGGAAGGGGGACCCAACCCUACCGCGUGGGUUGAAGAGGCCCUGGGGUUGGAAAGGUCUUUUGUUUGUAAGGAAAAGCAGCGGGUGAGACGUGCGCUUUACUGAAGGUACCGAAUGAAUAAGCACCGGCUAAUUUCGUG
This 496-nucleotide ribosomal RNA is filed under the name uncultured bacterium. Its description in RNAcentral is "partial 16S ribosomal RNA". It matches the Rfam family "Bacterial small subunit ribosomal RNA", at positions 28 to 507 of the family's 1533-position model. The record is from RNAcentral.